GAUGAACGCUGGCGGCGUGCCUAAUACAUGCAAGUCGAGCGAACGGACGAGAAGCUUGCUCCUCUGAUGUUAGCGGCGGACGGGUGAGUAACACGUGGAUAACCUACCUAUAAGACUGGGAUAACUUCGGGAAACCGGAGCUAAUACCGGAUAAUAUUUUGAACCGCAUGGUUCAAAAGUGAAAGACGGUCUUGCUGUCACUUAUAGAUGGAUCCGCGCUGCAUUAGCUAGUUGGUAAGGUAACGGCUUAACAAGGCAACGAUGCAUAGCCGACCUGAGAGGGUGAUCGGCCAGACUGGAACUGAGACACGGUCCAGACUCCUACGGGAGGCAGCAGUAGGGAAUCUUCCGCGAGGGGCGAAAGCCUGACGGAGCAACGCCGCGUGAGUGAUGAAGGUCUUCGGAUCGUAAAACGCUGUAAGUAGGGAAGAACAAAUGUGUAAUUAACUGUGCAGAUCUUGACGGUACCGAAACAGAAAGCCACGGCUAACUACGUG
Molecule: ribosomal RNA, 497 nt
Filed under: uncultured bacterium
Lineage: Bacteria
Description: partial 16S ribosomal RNA
Rfam family: Bacterial small subunit ribosomal RNA
Source: RNAcentral